This 23-nucleotide microRNA is filed under the name Gorilla gorilla (western gorilla). Its description in RNAcentral is "ggo-miR-3943". Lineage: Eukaryota; Metazoa; Chordata; Mammalia; Primates; Hominidae. The record is from miRBase by way of RNAcentral. RNAcentral also lists the same sequence under 4 other names.
UAGCCCCCAGGCUUCACUUGGCG